CAUGUGUGUGAUUAUCUGUCACAAUUUCGUUUUCUUUACAGCAGCCCCUUUGCUCAGUUGAAUGUCACUUCUCCGUGUCUCUUCCUAUUCCUGGUGUCUGCUCACUUCCUUCUGCAUCCACCUCCUCAUAGCCAUGGCCAGUGUUCCAUGAGGAACCUCUCCGGGAAUCCUGCAAUUUCGAAAAGAAGAGAAAACAUGAAAUAUGAAUAACUCCUCAUGAAGUCGCUAAGUUAAAUACUUGUGGAUUCCUAAUGAGUAAUGUAAGGGAUCUGAGACCGUCUGGAACGUCCCAAAGCCAUUUUUGGAGCUGAUAUCUGUGGAGCAAUCACAUCUCCUGUGAAUCUAUUUCGGUGUCGCUCUCGGAAAAGCACGCCGGAAUGAAGAAACCGUGAAUCUAAUCGAGUUUAUCAAUUGGUGUUAUUAAGUGAGCUUGUAGGAAACUACAGGAAAGAAAAUAAAACUUUUCCCUACAGAAUGUUAGUAUUUAGUGUCAUAGCGACCACUAACCUGCUCAUUUGUAAUUUGGCUUCUCCUUUGACUUACUUUUUAAAUUUGUGCAAGAAUUGACGGGAUGAGCACUGGGUGUUAUUCUGUAUGUUGGCAAAUUGAACACCAAUAAAACAUAAAUUUAUAAAAAAAAUAAAAAAAUAAAUUUGUGCAGGAAGACUUUGAAGAAUCACUUGGCUUAUGGCCCAUUUUAAUGCCGACGUGGCAAAACAGUUAUCUGCAAAAUUGGGGGUGACUGGGUGACGGGCACUGAGGUAGACACUUGACGGGAUGAGCACUGGGUGUUCUUCUAUAUGUUGGCAAAUUGAACACCAAUAAAAAAUAAAUUUAAAUUAAAAAAAAAGUUAUUUCACCACAUGUCCUAAAGUUUAUCUCUAUAAAUGCCCUGACUUUGCAUUUUUCACGGGCCGUAUUCUAAAGGAAGGCGUUUUGGCAUUAAUGAAACCUGCCUUUGCGAAACCGUAACACGAUUGAUUUGUAUAUACGUGCAUAGAGUAUUUAUACAGAAAUGGGCCUCGGGACCAAUGAGUUCCUACUCAGAGCCUCGCGGGAUGUUAUAAAUACGCUAUCAUUAAUGAUGGGGAUUUUUGGGGAACCU
RNAcentral lists this long non-coding RNA (1105 nucleotides) under Canis lupus familiaris (dog). RNAcentral's name for it is "lncRNA (ENSCAFG00845020930.1)". Lineage: Eukaryota; Metazoa; Chordata; Mammalia; Carnivora; Canidae. The record is from RNAcentral.